CCAAUUCCAGGGGGGGUGUCCCCAAUUCAUGGGAAGGGUCCCCAAAUUCCUGGGGGUUCCUCAAUUCGUGGGAAGGGUCCCCAAAUUCCUGGGGGGGGUCCCCAAUUCCACGGGGGUGUCCCCAAUUCAUGGGAGUGUCCCAAAUU
This is a long non-coding RNA of Neopelma chrysocephalum (saffron-crested tyrant-manakin), 146 nucleotides long. RefSeq lists it as uncharacterized. The record is from RefSeq and is a predicted model, not a curated record. The transcript has 3 exons. NCBI's taxonomy places the organism in Eukaryota, Metazoa, Chordata, Aves, Passeriformes, Pipridae.